This 332-nucleotide ribosomal RNA is filed under the name uncultured eukaryote. Its description in RNAcentral is "partial 18S ribosomal RNA". It matches the Rfam family "Eukaryotic small subunit ribosomal RNA", at positions 1470 to 1796 of the family's 1831-position model. The record is from RNAcentral.
CCCUUAGAUGUUCUGGGCUGCACACGUGCUACACUGGCAGGUUCAGCGAGCUUCAUGCCCUGAUCUGAAAGGAAUGGGAAAUCUUUUCAAAACCUGCCGUGCUUGGGAUAGAUGUUUGCAAUUAUUCAUCUUCAACGAGGAUUGCCUUGUAAGCGCACGUCAUCAGCGUGCAUUGAAUACGACCCUGUAAUCUGUACACACCGCCCGUCGCUCCUACCGAUUGAAGUUUUCGGUGAGUUGACAGGAGGAUUUUUUUGAAACUGGUUCGCCAGUGGAUUUUAGAUCCAAAUGCCAACGAAUCGAUGGCUUUAGAGGAAGGAGAAGUCGUAACA